CGGGGCGUAGCUCAGCCCGGCUAGAGCGCCUGGUUUGGGUCCAGGAGGUCGCAAGUUCGAAUCUUGUCGCCCCGA
RNAcentral lists this transfer RNA (75 nucleotides) under Phycisphaerae bacterium. RNAcentral's name for it is "tRNA-Pro". It matches the Rfam family "tRNA". Rfam says of the family: Transfer RNA (tRNA) molecules are approximately 80 nucleotides in length. The record is from RNAcentral. Lineage: Bacteria; Pseudomonadati; Planctomycetota; Phycisphaerae.